AGUGAAAAUCUCAUAAGCGAAAUCGGAGAAAAUGGAUUCCACCACUCAAAUACCGGUCAAGAAAAACCCUAAGAAGGCCAAUCUUUUGGAUCAUCACUCAAUCAAGAGCCUUCUGGAUGAGUCUGUCACUGAGAUUGUUACAAGCAAAGGAUACCCAGAAAAUGUGAGAUUGAGUAACAUCAGGUUAUUGAUUGGUUCAAUCAUAAUCGCAAUUGCUCUUGUUGCUCAGUUCUACAAGAAGGAUUUUCCUGCUAAUCGCGAUUUUCUCAUUGGAUGCAUUGUGUUGUAUAUCUUGUUUAAUGUGAUAUUACAGCUGAUUAUCCACACAAAGGAAAAGAAUGCAAUUUUGUUCACCUAUCCUCCGGAGGGAUCUUUUAACAGCACUGGCUUGGUUGUCUCAUCAAAGCUGCCUAGAUUCUCCGACAUGUACACACUUACAGUAGAAAGUGCUGAUCCCAAGUCCAUUUCUGCGAGGCCAAAAGUUGAAUUUACCAAGAGCGUCACAAAAUGGUUUGCCAAAGAUGGAGUUCUAGUUGAGGGCCUAUUCUGGAAAGAUGUUGAAGCCUUAGUUAACGAUUAUGCUAAGGAACACAAAAAGAGCAAAUAGAUUCAAUUUCAAACAUUUUGAUAGGAAUGUGGAUGGCAUGGAUAGCCAAUGAGAUUGAAAACAUCGGUUUAUGACUUACUGGAUUAAUAUCAUCUAUAUCAUUGUUGAAG
This 717-nucleotide unclassified non-coding RNA is filed under the name Hevea brasiliensis (rubber tree). Lineage: Eukaryota; Viridiplantae; Streptophyta; Magnoliopsida; Malpighiales; Euphorbiaceae. The record is from RNAcentral.